RNAcentral lists this ribosomal RNA (812 nucleotides) under uncultured Actinomycetes bacterium. Its description in RNAcentral is "bacterial SSU rRNA". It matches the Rfam family "Bacterial small subunit ribosomal RNA", at positions 58 to 867 of the family's 1533-position model. The record is from RNAcentral. Lineage: Bacteria; Bacillati; Actinomycetota; Actinomycetes.
CAAGUCGCGUGCGCAGUUGCCGUAGCAAUACGGUGAUGGGCGCACGGCGCACGGGUGCGUAACACGUGGGCAAUCUGCCCUUUGAUGGGGAAUAACCCGCCGAAAGGCGGGCUAAUUCCGCAUAAGAUUCCCGAGACUUAGGUUUUGGGAUUGAAAGCAGCAAUGCGUCGAAGGAGGAGCCCGCGCCCGAUUAGCUAGUUGGUGAGGUAACGGCUCACCAAGGCUAUGAUCGGUAGCUGGUCUGAGAGGAUGAUCAGCCACACUGGAACUGAGACACGGUCCAGACUCCUACGGGAGGCAGCAGUGGGGAAUUUUGCACAAUGGGCGAAAGCCUGAUGCAGCGACGCCGCGUGGGGGAUGAAGCAUUUCGGUGUGUAAACCCCUUUCGACUGGGAAGAAUACCUCGCAAGAGGGGUGACGGUACCAGUAGAAGAAGCCCCGGCUAACUACGUGCCAGCAGCCGCGGUAAGACGUAGGGGGCCAGCGUUGUUCGGAAUUACUGGGUGUAAAGGGUUCGUAGGCGGUGCGGCAAGUUGGGAGUGAAAUCUCUGGGCUUAACCCAGAGGCUGCUUCCAAAACUGCUGUGCUCGAGUGUGAGAGAGGCUCGUGGAAUUGCAGGUGUAGCGGUGAAAUGCGUAGAUAUCUGCAGGAACACCCGUGGCGAAAGCGGCGAGCUGGAUCACUACUGACGCUGAGGAACGAAAGCUAGGGGAGCAAACAGGAUUAGAUACCCUGGUAGUCCUAGCCCUAAACGAUCAGGACUUGGGGUGCCGCCCGUUCGGGCGUCGUCCCGGAGCUAACGCGUUAAGUCC